GGUUAAGCGACUAAGCGUACACGGUGGAUGCCCUGGCAGUCAGAGGCGAUGAAGGACGUGCUAAUCUGCGAAAAGCGUCGGUAAGGUGAUAUGAACCGUUAUAGCCGGCGAUGUCCGAAUGGGGAAACCCAGUGCAAUUCGUUGCACUAUCGUUAACUGAAUACAUAGGUUAACGAGGCGAACCGGGGGAACUGAAACAUCUAAGUACCCCGAGGAAAAGAAAUCAACCGAGAUUCCCCCAGUAGCGGCGAGCGAACGGGGAGCAGCCCAGAGUCUGAAUCAGCUUGUGUGUUAGUGGAACGGUCUGGAAAGUCCGACGGUACAGGGUGAUAGUCCCGUACACCAAAAUGCACAGGUUGUGAACUCGAAGAGUAGGGCGGGACACGUGGUAUCCUGUCUGAAUAUGGGGGGACCAUCCUCCAAGGCUAAAUACUCCUGACUGACCGAUAGUGAACCAGUACCGUGAGGGAAAGGCGAAAAGAACCCCGGCGAGGGGAGUGAAAAAGAACCUGAAACCGUGUACGUACAAGCAGUGGGAGCACCUUCGGGUGUGACUGCGUACCUUUUGUAUAAUGGGUCAGCGACUUAUAUUCUGUAGCAAGGUUAACCGUAUAGGGGAGCCGCAGGGAAACCGAGUCUUAACUGGGCGUUAAGUUGCAGGGUAUAGACCCGAAACCCGGUGAUCUAGCCAUGGGCAGGUUGAAGGUUGGGUAACACUAACUGGAGGACCGAACCGACUAAUGUUGAAAAAUUAGCGGAUGACUUGUGGCUGGGGGUGAAAGGCCAAUCAAACCGGGAGAUAGCUGGUUCUCCCCGAAAGCUAUUUAGGUAGCGCCUCGUGAACUCAUCUUCGGGGGUAGAGCACUGUUUCGGCUAGGGGGUCAUCCCGACUUACCAACCCGAUGCAAACUACGAAUACCGAAGAAUGUUAUCACGGGAGACACACGGCGGGUGCUAACGUCCGUCGUGAAGAGGGAAACAACCCAGACCGCCAGCUAAGGUCCCAAAGUCAUGGUUAAGUGGGAAACGAUGUGGGAAGGCACAGACAGCCAGGAUGUUGGCUUAGAAGCAGCCAUCAUUUAAAGAAAGCGUAAUAGCUCACUGGUCGAGUCGGCCUGCGCGGAAGAUGUAACGGGGCUAAACCAUGCACCGAAGCUGCGGCAGCGACACUAUGUGUUGUUGGGUAGGGGAGCGUUCUGUAAGCCUGCGAAGGUGUGCUGUGAGGCAUGCUGGAGGUAUCAGAAGUGCGAAUGCUGACAUAAGUAACGAUAAAGCGGGUGAAAAGCCCGCUCGCCGGAAGACCAAGGGUUCCUGUCCAACGUUAAUCGGGGCAGGGUGAGUCGACCCCUAAGGCGAGGCCGAAAGGCGUAGUCGAUGGGAAACAGGUUAAUAUUCCUGUACUUGGUGUUACUGCGAAGGGGGGACGGAGAAGGCUAUGUUAGCCGGGCGACGGUUGUCCCGGUUUAAGCAUGUAGGCUGGUUAUCCAGGCAAAUCCGGAUAAUCAAGGCUGAGGUGUGAUGACGAGGCACUACGGUGCUGAAGUAACAAAUGCCCUGCUUCCAGGAAAAGCCUCUAAGCAUCAGGUAACAUCAAAUCGUACCCCAAACCGACACAGGUGGUCAGGUAGAGAAUACCAAGGCGCUUGAGAGAACUCGGGUGAAGGAACUAGGCAAAAUGGUGCCGUAACUUCGGGAGAAGGCACGCUGGUGUGUAGGUGAAGUCCCUGCGGAUGGAGCUGAGACCAGUCGAAGAUACCAGCUGGCUGCAACUGUUUAUUAAAAACACAGCACUGUGCAAACACGAAAGUGGACGUAUACGGUGUGACGCCUGCCCGGUGCCGGAAGGUUAAUUGAUGGGGUUAUCCGUAAGGAGAAGCUCUUGAUCGAAGCCCCGGUAAACGGCGGCCGUAACUAUAACGGUCCUAAGGUAGCGAAAUUCCUUGUCGGGUAAGUUCCGACCUGCACGAAUGGCGUAAUGAUGGCCAGGCUGUCUCCACCCGAGACUCAGUGAAAUUGAACUCGCUGUGAAGAUGCAGUGUACCCGCGGCAAGACGGAAAGACCCCGUGAACCUUUACUAUAGCUUGACACUGAACAUUGAGCCUUGAUGUGUAGGAUAGGUGGGAGGCUUUGAAGCGUGGACGCCAGUCUGCGUGGAGCCAACCUUGAAAUACCACCCUUUAAUGUUUGAUGUUCUAACGUUGGCCCCUUACCGGGGUUGCGGACAGUGUCUGGUGGGUAGUUUGACUGGGGCGGUCUCCUCCCAAAGCGUAACGGAGGAGCACGAAGGUUAGCUAAUCCUGGUCGGACAUCAGGAGGUUAGUGCAAUGGCAUAAGCUAGCUUGACUGCGAGCGUGACGGCGCGAGCAGGUGCGAAAGCAGGUCAUAGUGAUCCGGUGGUUCUGAAUGGAAGGGCCAUCGCUCAACGGAUAAAAGGUACUCCGGGGAUAACAGGCUGAUACCGCCCAAGAGUUCAUAUCGACGGCGGUGUUUGGCACCUCGAUGUCGGCUCAUCACAUCCUGGGGCUGAAGUAGGUCCCAAGGGUAUGGCUGUUCGCCAUUUAAAGUGGUACGCGAGCUGGGUUUAGAACGUCGUGAGACAGUUCGGUCCCUAUCUGCCGUGGGCGCUGGAGAAUUGAGGGGGCUGCUCCUAGUACGAGAGGACCGGAGUGGACGCAUCACUGGUGUUCGGGUUGUCAUGCCAAUGGCACUGCCCGGUAGCUAAAUGCGGAAGAGAUAAGUGCUGAAAGCAUCUAAGCACGAAACUUGCCCCGAGAUGAGUUCUCCCUGAGACUUUAAGUCUCCUGAAGGAACGUUAAAGACGAUGACGUUGAUAGGCCGGGUGUGUAAGCGCAGCGAUGCGUUGAGCUAACCGGUACUAAUGAACCGUGAGGCUUAACCUU
This 2901-nucleotide ribosomal RNA is filed under the name Klebsiella pneumoniae. RNAcentral describes it as "23S ribosomal RNA". It matches the Rfam family "Bacterial large subunit ribosomal RNA". Lineage: Bacteria; Pseudomonadati; Pseudomonadota; Gammaproteobacteria; Enterobacterales; Enterobacteriaceae. The record is from RNAcentral.